AACGUAGGACGCAAGCGUUAUCCGGAGUUACUGGGCGUAAAGGGCGUGUAGGCGGCUGUUCAAGUUCGUCGUGAAAGACCCCGGCUCAACCGGGGGUGGUCGAGGGAGACUGAACAGCUGGAGGACGGUAGAGGGACAGUGAAUUCCGGGUGUAGUGGUGAAAUGCGUAGAGAUCCGGAGGAACACCAGUGGCGAAGGCGCUGUCCUGGGCCGACCCUGACGCUGAGACGCGACAGCAUGGGGAGCGAACGGG
Molecule: ribosomal RNA, 253 nt
Filed under: uncultured bacterium
Lineage: Bacteria
Description: partial 16S ribosomal RNA
Rfam family: Bacterial small subunit ribosomal RNA
Source: RNAcentral